GAGAUCACUUUGGUAGCACAUUUACUAAAAUUGAAAUGAUACAGAGAAGAUUCGCGCGGCUCCAGUACAAGGAAGACACACAAAUUGGUAAGCAUUCCAUAUUUUUU
RNAcentral lists this small nuclear RNA (107 nucleotides) under Pteropus vampyrus (large flying fox). Lineage: Eukaryota; Metazoa; Chordata; Mammalia; Chiroptera; Pteropodidae. The record is from RNAcentral.